AAGCAGGGGACGUAAGGCCUUGCGCUUUUGGAGCGGCCGAUGUCUGAUUAGCUAGUUGGUGGGGUAAAGGCCUACCAAGGCGACGAUCAGUAGUUGGUCUGAGAGGACGACAGCCACACUGGGACUGAGACACGGCCCAGACUCCUACGGGAGGCAGCAGUGGGGAAUUUUGGACAAUGGGCGCAAGCCUGAUCCAGCAAUGCCGCGUGAGUGAAGAAGGCCUUCGGGUUGUAAAGCUCUUUCAGUCGAGAAGAAAAGGCUACGGUGAAUAAUCGUAGUCCAUGACGGUACCGACAGAAGAAGCACCGGCUAACUACGUGCCAGCAGCCGCGGUAAUACGUAGGGUGCGAGCGUUAAUCGGAAUUACUGGGCGUAAAGGGUGCGCAGGCGGCUUUGUAAGUCAGAUGUGAAAUCCCCGGGCUUAACCUGGGAAUUGCGUUUGAAACUACAAAGCUAGA
Molecule: ribosomal RNA, 458 nt
Filed under: uncultured beta proteobacterium
Lineage: Bacteria; Pseudomonadati; Pseudomonadota; Betaproteobacteria
Description: bacterial SSU rRNA
Rfam family: Bacterial small subunit ribosomal RNA
Source: RNAcentral